GUGAAUCAUCGAAUUUUUGAACGCAAAUUGCACUCUCUGGUAUUCCGGAAAGUAUGCCUGCUUGAGGGUCAGUUAAUUAAAAAUCGGAGUUGUUGCUGCCUUUCGUGGUGACGCGUCGGAAUUGUGUAGUCUUACUCUCGGAUAAGCUAUUAUAAAUAUUUGUAUGAUUUUCAAUGGUAUUUAAAACGUUUAUG
RNAcentral lists this unclassified non-coding RNA (194 nucleotides) under Glomeraceae sp. Its description in RNAcentral is "partial contains 5.8S ribosomal RNA and internal transcribed spacer 2". The stretch from base 1 to 71 matches the Rfam family "5.8S ribosomal RNA", at positions 84 to 154 of the family's 154-position model. The record is from RNAcentral. Lineage: Eukaryota; Fungi; Glomeromycota; Glomeromycetes; Glomerales; Glomeraceae.